GUAGGGGGCAAGCGUUGUCCGGAUUUAUUGGGCGUAAAGAGCGUGUAGGCGGCCGGGUAGGUCGGUUGUGAAAACUAGAGGCUUAACCUCUAGACGUCGACCGAAACCAUCUGGCUAGAGUCCGGAAGAGGAGAGUGGAAUUCCUGGUGUAGCGGUGAAAUGCGCAGAUAUCAGGAAGAACACCCGUGGCGAAAGCGGCUCUCUAGGACGGUACUGACGCUGAGACGCGAAAGCGUGGGGAGCGAACAGGAUUAGAUACCCUGGUAGUCCACGCCGUAAACGAUGGGUGCUAGGUGUGGGAGGUGUCGACUCCUCCCGUGCCGCAGCUAACGCAUUAAGCACCCCGCCUGGGGAGUACGGCCGCAA
This 366-nucleotide ribosomal RNA is filed under the name uncultured bacterium. Its description in RNAcentral is "bacterial SSU rRNA". It matches the Rfam family "Bacterial small subunit ribosomal RNA", at positions 527 to 891 of the family's 1533-position model. The record is from RNAcentral.